RNAcentral lists this unclassified non-coding RNA (3009 nucleotides) under Hevea brasiliensis (rubber tree). The record is from RNAcentral. Lineage: Eukaryota; Viridiplantae; Streptophyta; Magnoliopsida; Malpighiales; Euphorbiaceae.
AUAACCAAUCCUGAAUAAUCCAACAUUAUCCUUACCCACCACAGGAAUCACAAUUUACUUUCUUCUUCCCUCUCUCAAGCCCCACCAUGUAGCUCUCACUGCAACAAUGCAAGAGAAAAUCCAUUUCUUCUCGAACCACAAAUCCUCAUUUCCUUACCCUUUCAAUCUCCACAAUUUUUCCUCUUCUCACCAUCAUUUUCCCUCACUUUCUUGCUCAAGAACUCUUCAUUUUCCCUCCCUUUCCUCCAAAACAAACACCGUUUCUAUCCCUCCCAAGCCCCCCAAAAUAACUGAAAUCCCCUCCUUAUCUGCACCUAUUAAUAACCCUCCUCCGCCUGCACCACCCAAUGCAGAUUUUCAAGAGAAAAUGCUUUACCUUGAUUCCAUAGGUAUCGACAUAUUUUCCCUCGUCGACCACCAUCGUCCGAUCAUUCUCUCUGCCUCCCUCGCCGAUAUAAAAUCCAUGGUCGAUUUAUUUCUCUCCAUGAAUUUCAACUCCCUGGAGUUCCGCCGGAUUGUUUCCAUGUGCCCAGAAAUCCUCGCCUCCAAUGCCUCCACCAUCCUUCCCGUCUUCACCUUCCUCCUCCGGGAAGCCCGUGUCAACGGCUUCGAUAUUAAGCGCGUCAUCAAUCGACGGCCCAGAUUGCUCGUUUCCAGCGUCAAGCAGCGGCUGCGUCCCACCCUGUACUUCCUCCAAAGCAUUGGCAUAGAAGAGGUAAACAAACACACUUCUUUGCUUUCCUGUAGCGUGGAAGACAAACUAUUACCGAGAAUUGAAUACUUUGAGAAAAUGGGUUUCCUUUGUAAAGACGCCAAAUCCAUGUUUAGGAGGUUUCCCCCACUCUUUAAUUACAGUAUAAAAGACAAUAUUGAGCCAAAAUUGAAUUAUUUCGUGGUGGAAAUGGGAAGAGAUUUGAAGGAGCUCAAAGAGUUUCCACAGUACUUUUCAUUUAGUUUAGAAAAUAGGAUUAAGCCGAGGCACCAAUCCUGUGUAGAGAAGGGUAUGUAUUUCCCUCUACGUGCUUUGUUAAAGAUCAGUGAGGAACAAUUUCGAGGUAGAUUGGAAGUCUGUUGUAAUUCUUCGAUGCCAUUGAGCUCUUCUCCUUUGUCAUGUAUAAAUUGGCAUAUUGAUUCUAACACAGAAUAGAUUUUUACAUUUUUCUUGUAUCUUUGAAUUGUUGUGCUUUGUGUGUCUGUAAAUUGUUGUUUAAAUGUUAUUGUUUUUUAUUUAUCUUUGUGUUUUAUGAUUGUGUGAAGUCUGCUAUUCUAGUUCUAUGCCUAUAUGGAUACAUAGUGUAGGAGGGUGAGCUUUGGUGCAGUAGCAGUUAGCAAGAUGACUCAUUGUGAGCAGAAGGGCAUCGGUGGAUUUAUGGUGACAACCCCUCUGCAAAAGGAGGGGGAAGCUGCAUUUCAUAGAUGAAUAACCAUUCAAAUUCACAAAACGGUGUAUAUAUAUUAGUUGCAUUUGUUCUUCUGCAGGCUAAGUACUGAUGGGUUAUUGUUGCUUCACUUUGUUUGAUUUAGGAGAACAAAAAAGUUUCUUUUUUCUGCAUAAUUUGCUAGUGAUGGUAAACUUACGAUUGCCUAUGAGAUUUGAAAUUACUCAAGUGAAAUGCAUAGUCAGUGCUGGCACAGCAGCCACACUGGUCUUUUGUUUGUUGGAAAGAGAUAGAAAGAGAAAAGAGAGUAGAUUGAUAAAGAAAAGGGUAGGAGGAAGAGGAACCUAUCACUAUUAAGUUAUGUAGUUUAGUUGUUGGUUUGUGUUGAUUUUCAUCUUUGGUAAUUGAUGAUUUCUGCUAGUACUCAAAAAGUACAUUUUCUUAAUGUUUUUCUGGCAUCUAGUGUUUUAAAGCUAAAACCACUUUUGUUCUUAUUUUCUACAUGUCACAGAGAUAAUUGAAGUUCCAUCAGGCUUUUGUCUUUUACAAGUCAGAUUGUCAUCCUGUGUAACAUUUCCUCUCUCUUUUUCCACUCUUUUUGAUACAUAACUGUAGAAUUCUGUGUUAUUAAGCUUUAAAGUAUCUGGCGUCCUGAAUGCGGAUCGAUACUUUGGUAUCUUGUUUCUUGUUCAUCUGCUAGUGCAACUUGCUAGUGUGAAAGUUGGACUGAACAAAUUUUUAGAGGAUCAAUUGGCUCGACUGAAGUCCAGUUUUUUUAAGCAUAUUACUACUGGUUUUUGUGGUGCAAAUUAAGUAAUCUUUGCUGUUGAAUCCUCCAGGUUCGUUAGAGUUAGUUCCCUUCUAUAAAACUAGGAAACUAGAAAUUUUAUAUGUGCAUUAAAGGCGUUGGUGAAUUGGAGCUUACAGCUAUAGCUUGAAUAUUUAUAAGAAAAUACUUCAAAUAGACGAUUGUUACAAUUUUUCUUUUAGUAGGCACAGACAACGUUUAAUGCAUUUUUUUUGAAAAUUUCAAAUUAUCGAAGAUUAAUAUAGAAUCUUUUGUCAAGUGCCAUUUUAUCUUUACAUCAAUGGGUUGAUAGCUUGUAAGGUAGCUUGGAAAGUUUCCAUCUCACCUGGAGUGGAGAUUAACUUCAUCACAUAAGGAUAAGAGAAGAAAAGCUUUUCUUGCCAGUAGAUGGGCAGCCCAAUUACUCUCAAUAUACAAAGUUGAACGGAACACUGGAGAAGCAUUCUUGUAAUGGAGAGGUAUCCAAAAUACAGGUUUCCCCUUUUGAGGGAGUGGCUAUAAGACCAGCAGUAGCAUCUUUACUUGUUUGGCAUCUCCUUCAAAAAUAAUGUUGGCAGCACUAACUCCCUUGUUGCUUACAACGGGUCCAAACUAUACACCGUCAAAGGAUAUGAGAAAUCUUGAAUAUGCUUUGCCGAGCAAAAUAUUAUGGACCUGUUAAUUCAUUAGGGAUCAAGACUGUUUUUCUCAAUAAUGUUUUCUAUAAGGAUCGUUCUCUUUUAGAACAUAAUGGCCUUUAUCGCUGUGCCAACAAUUAUUGGUAUUUUUUAUAAUUGAUAGCUUGAGCUAGGAUUUUUUUAUUGACAAAAGCUAAAAAUUUCA